RNAcentral lists this transfer RNA (66 nucleotides) under Bos taurus (domestic cattle). It matches the Rfam family "tRNA". Rfam says of the family: Transfer RNA (tRNA) molecules are approximately 80 nucleotides in length. Their secondary structure includes four short double-helical elements and three loops (D, anti-codon, and T loops). The record is from Rfam by way of RNAcentral. Lineage: Eukaryota; Metazoa; Chordata; Mammalia; Artiodactyla; Bovidae. RNAcentral also lists the same sequence under 1 other name.
GCUCAGGUGGCUCAAUGGUAAAGAAUCUGCCUGCCAAGCAGGAGACAUGGGUUCGAUCCCUGAGUU